This 560-nucleotide ribosomal RNA is filed under the name uncultured marine bacterium. RNAcentral's name for it is "bacterial SSU rRNA". It matches the Rfam family "Bacterial small subunit ribosomal RNA", at positions 338 to 916 of the family's 1533-position model. The record is from RNAcentral.
CCUACGGGAGGCAGCAGUGGGGAAUCUUAGACAAUGGGCGCAAGCCUGAUCUAGCCAUGCCGCGUGAGUGAUGAAGGUCUUAGGAUCGUAAAGCUCUUUCGCUAGGGAUGAUAAUGACAGUACCUAGUAAAGAAGCCCCGGCUAACUCCGUGCCAGCAGCCGCGGUAAUACGGAGGGGGCUAGCGUUGUUCGGAAUUACUGGGCGUAAAGCGUACGUAGGCGGAUCAGAAAGUAUGGGGUGAAAUCCCAGGGCUUAACCCUGGAACUGCCUCAUAAACUCCUGGUCUUGAGUUCGAGAGAGGUGAGUGGAAUUCCAAGUGUAGAGGUGAAAUUCGUAGAUAUUUGGAGGAACACCAGUGGCGAAGGCGGCUCACUGGCUCGAUACUGACGCUGAGGUACGAAAGUGUGGGGAGCAAACAGGAUUAGAUACCCUGGUAGUCCACACCGUAAACGAUGAGUGCCAGUCGUCGGGCAGUAUACUGUUCGGUGACACACCUAACGGAUUAAGCAUUCCGCCUGGGGAGUACGGUCGCAAGAUUAAAACUCAAAGGAAUUGACGG